RNAcentral lists this transfer RNA (70 nucleotides) under Marmota monax (woodchuck). RNAcentral's name for it is "tRNA.Ala". Lineage: Eukaryota; Metazoa; Chordata; Mammalia; Rodentia; Sciuridae. The record is from RNAcentral.
GGGCUGGGGCUCAGUGGCAGAGCGCUUGCCUAGCAUGCGUGAGGCACUGGGUUCGAUCCUCAGCACCACA